Molecule: long non-coding RNA, 223 nt
Organism: Telopea speciosissima
Lineage: Eukaryota; Viridiplantae; Streptophyta; Magnoliopsida; Proteales; Proteaceae
Exons: 3
Source: RefSeq, a predicted model, not a curated record
GAAACAGUUCAAUCUGUAGUCCUGAUGCAAGCGGAAGUUAAUAUUCUGGUGUCAGCUUAUUUCAUAAUUGGAGAUUUUCCAAAAAGUCUUGUAAAUGCUGAUGAGUUUCAAUGAUGCAAGAAAGACCUGUAAACUAGGAAAAUUUUAGUGGUUGGGCAAAAGUUAGUCAAUCUUCUGGGAGAAUCCAAACAUCAUUAUUGUACCAAUUUAAGCUGGGGUGACC